CCUGAACCGGCCAUUGUGGUCUGAAGUAGAGAAGAGCUUAGGAGAAGGGCCACAAGCACAAGAACUGCAAAUACUAUCUUCAUCUAUAUUACUAUGUGUGUGUGUGUGUGUGUGUUAAGAACUAAGAAAUUGAGUCAAUAUACAUGGAAUGAAGAAGGAAAUGCAAAUGGUGCUGAACUCUAGUGGGGGUAUAUAUGGUGUGGGACGGUUGGUGAAGGCAUAAAAAAUUGUUCUAAG
This 237-nucleotide long non-coding RNA is filed under the name Panax ginseng (ginseng). RNAcentral's name for it is "long non-coding RNA (PGIN_LNC017924)". Lineage: Eukaryota; Viridiplantae; Streptophyta; Magnoliopsida; Apiales; Araliaceae. The record is from RNAcentral.